Molecule: long non-coding RNA, 3912 nt
Organism: Miniopterus natalensis
Lineage: Eukaryota; Metazoa; Chordata; Mammalia; Chiroptera; Miniopteridae
Source: RefSeq, a predicted model, not a curated record
GGCUGGUGGGACAGUCUCUGCGCACGCCGCGCACAGCCCGGGGGCGCCAUCAUGUCGGCCCCUUUGCCCACCCUCUGCACCAAGCACCUGCAGCGCCCCCUUUGUCCCCGGGACUGUCGCGAUGGCACUGCUAGCGGCCCCGGUCGCACCCUGGAAACCUCCGGGGCGAGGGAAGGACCAUGAAAUAAAAGAUGAAACUGAAGGAACUGACUACCGUGGAAACAGUGGAUCACUCCGGGAGUUGGAAUUACAGUGUUGGGCCUUAAAUGAUUUUCCCAAGCUCACCCCAGUGGAGCCUGGAUGCACAUUGUCUGCCUACAAAUCUCAAGAAGACCGAUGCCUCCAUUAUCUAAGCCACCGGCUCCCACCUGUCUUCCAUUUCUACGAAGCCCUCAUACGCAGUUAACAAGCCAGUAUUAUGGAUUGAAAAUAUGGGAAGAUGCUAGAGAUCAUGGCCCUUUGCAGCCAUCACUCCCUCAUGACCAAAUAUGCCUACAGCCAGGACCACUUGGAGAAAUUUCCCUCUUUCACCAAGAUCUGCACCGCUCCCUCUCGGGAGCCGUCUCCGCCUCGACCUCUCCCAAAACUGGCUCUACGAGUAACACCCACUGAGCCCUGGACUCUCGCUGGUGCCAAGUGCUGCAAUAGACCGUCCUCUCGGCAGCCCGGCGAGGCAGAUUCAAUUAGUUCCUGCAUUUUGCUGGAGAGACAAAUGAGGUUUGGAGACAAAGUAAUUUUCCCAUUCACGCAGCGUUAAGCGGGGCAGCUGGGCCCUGUGACAGCCAUGCUCACUCCUCUGUCCUCACAUUCCACGCCACCCCUCUGCUGUGCGUAACACUGCACCUUCCACUCAAACCACUCCCCAGCGACAUUGGAGCAAAGCAGAGAAAGAAAAAAGGGAAAGAAAUAUGAUCUUCUGAGAACUCUCAAGCUCCAGGAAGACAAGGAUUCGGCUUGUUCGUUGCUGUCUGUAUCCCAGGGCUGGGAAUCCUGGACACAACACAUGCAGGGGCCCAGAAUUCACUGUGGAAUAAAUGGGUGGAUGGAUUCAAAGUCCUCUCUCGGAGUUAAUUUUUCAGCAAGAAGAGCAACAGUCAGGGUCUUUGAGUGCAGCUCACAUGCACACCCAUUACCUGAUUCAAGACCCACAGCCCCAGCUUAGGUUUCUACCAUCCCACUGAAUGAGCCCCCGUCUCAGACAGCGCAGGCUGUUAUAACUGGACGUCGUAGGCUGGGGGGCUUCAACGACAGGAGUUUAUUUCUCCCAGCUCUGGAGACCGAGAAGCCCCAGGUCAAUGUGCUGGCCGAUUCAGCUCCUGUUAAGGGCCCGGCUUACAGGCUGCCUCCUUGGAGCUGAGGCUUUGCGGUGGUGAGAAACGGGCAACACCACAUCGAAGGGAUGGCCGUGGGAAUAAAGGCUGACCUGGGACAGCGCGUGAGAUUCUUGCAACAGAAAAGCCGCAUGUUGGAUGGGUCAUCUGUCUGGAUAUUCAGAGUACUGAAAGCAGUGACAAAAGUGGUGGUGGAAGAGCUGAAAUCCGCGUGCUAAACUUAUCGAUAAAUGAGGGGGCACAAGGAGGAGGAACGUAGGUGACACAAAAGGAGUAGGACAUGACAGAGCCCCAGGGCGCGCGUUUCCAGUGCACUGGAAGACUUCAGAGCGUGGGAAGAACAAGGGCUGGGGCAGGGCGGGACGCAAGGAGACUCGCCCGGCUCCAAGCCCAGGGUUUGAAGAAGGUGGGGAGAGGAAAUGAAAGAAAGGACACCACCUGCGAGGCCUACAGGGGAUUUUCGUCGGGGCUGCGAGAAGAUGAAGAAAAUUUUCAGAAAAGAAUUUGAGUCUCUAGGGGAUUUUGCUGAUGACAGACCCUGAGUCCGUAAGGCACAGUGCGAGGGUUUGGGGGGCUGGGGAGGGUCCAAACCCAACGGCAAGACGGGGUGAUGUGGGGUGGGCUGGGACGCUGGGUUUCUCGUGGCUUCCAAGGUGGACAGGCCAUGCUGUGGAGAGGAUGCCAUGGGAAAUGAGUCCUCGUGGAAGAUUAUUUGUGAUCACUGCCUUUUCGGGGGGCUGGGCUCUGAGUGCUGAGUCGAGGAGUGUGGAGGGAAAGGAAUUAAGGGUCUCUCCAGAACACUAGUUGAUUGCGAUCUGAAUUAUCGAGGAGACCUCCCUGUUCUCGAUUUCUCUUUGCCAACAGUGUCCUGACUUCCUGCCCUGGUUAAGCCAGUGUGAGCCUCUGAGCAUUCUGCUACUUGGACCAACUUUCCAAGUUGAGCUCAUCUCGGCGCCAGCAGAACACACCUCUUUCAAUCCGCCUAGAAUAAACAGGCCGUAGAAACAAAUAGUUGGGGGUUAGUCAACUCUGCUCAAAGCGUCUGUUUUCCACGUGUCCCACCAGUGAGUACAGGGAAAAAGAAAGUGGAAUCUCAAGAAGUACUGGCCAUAAGGGCCUAUUGGUUAAACUCCCCCUUUGCCUGGUGCCAGACAAUUACCUUUCAUGUAGUCACAGCAGCUUGGGAUGAACGCUGACCUAUAAAGAUCACUUUAUGGUUUAACAGUCCCAAAGGCGGCCUCAUUGGAAGAAUUCUGCCAUCAGCUGGGACCCAUGUUUCCUAGCCCAGCACUGAGAUAAUUUAAAAUAAAUGACCAUUUUGGUGUAUUUGUGCCCUGUUAGACAGGGAGGAAUUUCAAGGGAAAGGUAGAUGCUUAAUGGAGCAGUGAAACAUUUACUGGGCUGACACCUGUUUUAUACAAAAAUUCUGGGCUUUAUACAAACAUAUUAUUAAGUUGCAAAUAUUUGUUGGGAGCGAGUUUUUGCUCUAUAAACAAUCCUAGCUUGGGAAGGCCUUUGAGAAUUUUCUUGAUUUGAAAAUGCAUUUAAUGAUCUGUAAAGGGCAAAAGAAAAAAGGUGCCAAAAUCCACUACGAAUAAAAAUUUCCAUGUUCAACACGGGGAAGUAAUAACGUCGGUAAUCGUUAGGCUUCGUGUUUAUCUGGGCUCUUUCUCCGAGGAGGCUGUGUAAUUCUGCAGCAACGUAGAGAAUGGCUUGUGAACAGCCACUCCCUCAGUCAGCUAUUGAACGAACCGUGAGGGAGGGGGACUCUGUGUGUUUACAGACCUCUGCUCUGACUCUGAGCUCAUUCUUCCCCUUUCCUGCUUUUCUGACAUCUCCUGUUAGAUCCCAGUUUCAGCUAGAUAUGGCAAAACUGAUCUUUCUUUGCUAUCUUGCUCUGAAUUCAUUCUUCCUUUCAUGUAACAAAUACGCACUGGCUCUCAUCACUGUAAGAGGAAAUUUCAGCACAAUCUCUGAUUGAGCUCAUAUACUCACUUUGAAACUGUAAACAACCCCAAAACAUGCACAAGAAGCUGUAAACAACCCAAAGAGUCCAUUGCUGACUCUGAUUCUGACCCCUUCAGGGCCCUGAGAGUGAUGACAUCUCCAAAGUCCCAGUUCCCCCCGUGCCCUACAAGGCCCUAUCUCUCAGGCAAUCUAUUUUGUCCAAAUGUAAAUCACUGCAGUAGCACUUUACAGUGCAUUCCCUCAUUUGAUUUGUCACUGACUUUUGUCAUUUCUUUCUCUGUGACGCUGUCAAAAUCUUUCAUUGCUUUCAUAGUCGAUUCUACACCUCCGGGUGGGAAGGUAGGUGGACCUUCCUAGACAUGUGAGAGCCUGAGUCGUCAACAAUCUGAUGACCCUUCCAACCAAUAUUCUUUAAAUAUUUGUUUACUUAUUUAAUGGAAGCAAAGAGAAACUCAUUUUCUAUUCAUAAAAAUUGCAUACUUUCUAUGUUCAAAAAUGAGAGCUCAACUACUGUGGUCUUCAGAACCAGAAAAUACAUCAGAAGCAAACGGAACCAUGUAAAGAUGUGGUUAAUAAAAUGUCGCUCUAAAAUAAAUUACUUAUUCCCAAUAAA